RNAcentral lists this ribosomal RNA (468 nucleotides) under uncultured bacterium. RNAcentral describes it as "partial 16S ribosomal RNA". It matches the Rfam family "Bacterial small subunit ribosomal RNA", at positions 28 to 507 of the family's 1533-position model. The record is from RNAcentral.
GACGAACGCUGGCGGCGUGCUUAACACAUGCAAGUCGAACGGAAAGGCCCUGCUUUUGUGGGGUGCUCGAGUGGCGAACGGGUGAGUAACACGUGAGUAACCUGCCCUUGACUUUGGGAUAACUUCAGGAAACUGGGGCUAAUACCGGAUAGGAGCUCCUGCUGCAUGGUGGGGGUUGGAAAGUUUCGGCGGUUGGGGAUGGACUCGCGGCUUAUCAGCUUGUUGGUGGGGUAGUGGCUUACCAAGGCUUUGACGGGUAGCCGGCCUGAGAGGGUGACCGGCCACAUGGGGACUGAGAUACGGCCCAGACUCCGACGGGAGGCAGCAGUGGGGAGUGUGGCACGAGGGGCGGAGGCCUGAUGCAGCAACGCCGCGUGAGGGAAGCCGGGGUUCGUGUUGGAAACCGCUUUCGCCUGUGACGAAGAGUGAGUGACGGUAAUGGGUAAAGAAGCACCGGCUAACUACGUG